This is a non-coding RNA of Paragonimus heterotremus, 82 nucleotides long. Lineage: Eukaryota; Metazoa; Platyhelminthes; Trematoda; Plagiorchiida; Troglotrematidae. The record is from the annotation of a GenBank genome assembly.
GGUUUCGUAGCUCAGCUGGUAGAGCAUUUGCCACGUUGAGGCAUUUUGUUUUUUGUUGCUGGUUCGGAUCCAGCCGGAACCC